Small nuclear RNA from Eptesicus fuscus (big brown bat), 189 nucleotides. RefSeq annotates it as U2 spliceosomal RNA. The record is from RefSeq and is a predicted model, not a curated record. NCBI's taxonomy places the organism in Eukaryota, Metazoa, Chordata, Mammalia, Chiroptera, Vespertilionidae. The transcript has a single exon.
AUCGCUUCUCGGCCUUUUGGCUAAGAUCAAGUGUAGUAAAAUCAGCUGCCCUUAGCUUGCCACAUCUUGAGUUAUUAGUGAUUAAUAAGUUAAUAACAAGUGUGAAUAUCAUUAAUGUAUCUAUAAUUAAUUUCUUUAGUAACACCUUACAUUUUAUUAUUCAUUCCUCAGAUGAAGAGUUUUCCAAAU